GUCCUCUCAUGAUGGCACCUGGAGAGUUUCUGGUACUCUACUAGUCUCAGCUGCGGGAGGGAGAGGCAAGUAGAGGCCUACCCAUUCCAUUCCUAGCUUCGGCAGUGGCUAGCUAGUGGAAGGCAAUCGACUACAAGU
Small nucleolar RNA from Tachyglossus aculeatus (Australian echidna), 138 nucleotides. The record is from RefSeq and is a predicted model, not a curated record. Lineage: Eukaryota; Metazoa; Chordata; Mammalia; Monotremata; Tachyglossidae.